Molecule: ribosomal RNA, 466 nt
Filed under: uncultured bacterium
Lineage: Bacteria
Description: bacterial SSU rRNA
Rfam family: Bacterial small subunit ribosomal RNA
Source: RNAcentral
UGCCAGACUCUUACGGGAGGCAGCAGUGAGGAAUAUUGGUCAAUGGGCGAGAGCCUGAACCAGCCAAGUCGCGUGAGGGAGGACGGCCCUACGGGUUGUAAACCUCUUUUGCCGGGGGACAAACGGCGGCACGCGUGCCGUCCUGAGGGUACCCGGAGAAAAAGCAUCGGCUAACUCCGUGCCAGCAGCCGCGGUAAUACGGAGGAUGCGAGCGUUAUCCGGAUUUAUUGGGUUUAAAGGGUGCGUAGGCGGACGCUUAAGUCAGCGGUAAAAUUGCGGGGCUCAACCUCGUCGAGCCGUUGAAACUGGGUGCCUUGAGUGGGCGAGAAGUACGCGGAAUGCGUGGUGUAGCGGUGAAAUGCAUAGAUAUCACGCAGAACUCCGAUUGCGAAGGCAGCGUACCGGCGCCCAACUGACGCUGAAGCACGAAGGCGUGGGUAUCGAACAGGAUUAGAUACCCCGGUAC